Carassius gibelio (silver crucian carp) is the source of this 1859-nucleotide long non-coding RNA. RefSeq lists it as uncharacterized. The record is from RefSeq and is a predicted model, not a curated record. The transcript has 2 exons. Lineage: Eukaryota; Metazoa; Chordata; Actinopteri; Cypriniformes; Cyprinidae.
AUGUUUGUAUUCUUAUAAUAGUUUCAAAGUGUUUUCUGCAACAUAUAAGUGCAAAUGUCGGUAUUUAAAUAAUAUAAUUUUAAUGAAUUAAUGAAAAUGAAAAAAGAAAUAAAAAAGGAUUGUUUAAAGCCAUGGUUCUCAAAGUGUCAGGCCCCCUCUAGUUGUUUUGCAGGUGAAUCACUAAAUUAAACUAAUUAAUGUUAAUACAUUUUAACUUAAUCUUUGAGUAAGUUUUUUUUUUGCACAUUUAAGUAUGUUACAGUUAAAGUACAGUACAGUUUUGUAACUUUUGUUACAUAAUUACAUUUAAAAUUAAAUUUUAAUUUAAACUUUUUUUUUUCAUUUACCUGUGUAUGUAAGCACAGUUGUAGUGUUAAUGUUCAAACUGUAUUUACCAUGGUAAAGUGUCUGACAAUUAAUUUUCUUAUUAGAAUAAAACUGCCUCAUUUUUUAACUAUAGACCUGUAGCUGAAUAGUUUGGCCUACUUCACUGCUGAAAUGUAAUGUUGGUCAUUAUGGUGCAACUUAAUAUUUAAUAACAAAUAUUUUCUGAAGUGGUACUUAUAAAAAGUUUGAGAAUCAAUGGUUUAAAGCAGUGGUCUCAAACUCAAUUCCUGGAGGGCCACAGCUCUGCAGAGUUUAGCUCCAACCAGCUCCAAAUCACACCUGCUUGGAAGUUUCUAGUAAUCCUGAAGACCUUGAUUAGCUGAAUCAGGUGUGUUUGAUUAUGGUUGGAGCAAACUGUGCAGAGCUGUGGCCCUCCAGGAAUUGAGUUUGAGAUCAAUGGUUUAAAGAAAUGGUAUAAUAUGAAAUCCUGCUUUUUAAGAACUUUUCAGUAAACUCUUUCUUCUUUCCCCUUGUAGAGUCAUCGAGGAUCCAGCUUGUUCUUUAAACAUUGAAGUUUGCCCUCUGCAAGUGAACGACGCCUUGUGGUGCCAUCCCAAAGAAGUUCACAAUAACCCUCACGGAUCUUUUCCUGGACUGUGCCCAGCUGGUGGAAUGACCUCCCAAUCUCAAUCCGAACUGCUGAGUCUUUACUCAUUUUCAAGAAACAUCUUAAGACUCAUCUUUUUCACCAGAACUUAACCAACUAAUGCUAGCACUUUUCCUUCUUUUCUUGUCUUUCAUAUUGAAAACUAGACUAACUGACACUUGUCAUGGCACUUGUAUUCUGUUGUUGUUCUCUUGUACACCUGACUGCUUCUGUUCUUCUCAUUUGUAAGUCGCUUUGGAUAAAUUUGUCUGUUUAAUGAUUAAAUGUAAAUGUUUAUACAGGACGGUACAGAAAGUGCACAAGUGGGAGAGAGUGGAGGGGACGGCGUCAGAAAGGACCUAGCGCUGGGACACUUUCAAGGAUCACCCGAAGCACAACCACACUGUAUACACUAAGGCUGCUGGUUCUAACAUUUUAGAGUGCCCUGCGGUAGAAAUCUCAUUCUGCAUUCCCCACGGUAAAGAAGACACAGUCCGGGGGGGUUCCCAUUAGAAAUCAACUGGUGGAAGGUUCCCUUCUCGAACUGUUCAACACAUUUUCACUGCACAAAUGUACACAACUCUUGUAAUGAGACACAUUACUAAAACAUGUUUUUGACAGAAACUGUAGGUUUCCACCAAAAUAAAAGAUCCACUGGUUUCAGUCAUAAAGGUACAAGGGUUUGUCUUGUAAGUGCUGCAAAAAAAUAUGCAUUUAUGUGCCAAAUUAUUUCACAAAAACCUUUAAAUAUUAUUGUAUUUGGAUUGUUCUCCUACAUGUUUUUAGCAUUACCUCCAUGCAUACUCUGCAUAAUAAAGUGUGGGAUUAUUUUCAUCUGUUUUAUAUAGUAUGUUUCCAAAAUUAAACUGCUGUUUGACAAUUUUGA